AUGUCCUGUCCAUACGCUUUAGAAGGAAAUCACAAGUGUAUUUUCUAUACAAAAUCAUCAUGUGGUCAUCUAUAUUACGAACUAUUCACACCAGAUUCAUAUGGAGUGACACUCAUGGCGGUAGUUGAACCAAAGCUAUCUAUCAGUACGCCUAACUAUGGCUUCGUAGUUUUAGCGCAUCCACUAGAGUGA
Molecule: ribosomal RNA, 192 nt
Filed under: Triticum aestivum (bread wheat)
Lineage: Eukaryota; Viridiplantae; Streptophyta; Magnoliopsida; Poales; Poaceae
Description: partial small subunit ribosomal RNA
Source: RNAcentral